GACGAACGCUGGCGGCGUGCUUAACACAUGCCAGUCGAACGGAAAGGCCCUGCUUUUGUGGGGUGCUCGAGUGGCGAACGGGUGAGUAACACGUGAGUAACCUGCCCUUGACUUUGGGAUAACUUCAGGAAACUGGGGCUAAUACCGGAUAGGAGCUCCUGCUGCAUGGUGGGGGUUGGAAAGUUUCGGCGGUUGGGGAUGGACUUGCGGCUUAUCAGCUUGUUGGUGGGGUAGUGGCUUACCAAGGCUUUGACGGGUAGCCGGCCUGAGAGGGUGACCGGCCACAUUGGGACUGAGAUACGGCCCAGACUCCUACGGGGGGCAGCAGUGGGGAAUAUUGCACAAUGGGCGGAAGCCUGAUGCAGCAACGCCGCGUGCGGGAUGACGGCCUUCGGGUUGUAAACCGCUUUCGCCUGUGACGAAGCGUGAGUGACGGUAAUGGGUAAAGAAGCACCGGCUAACUACGUG
Molecule: ribosomal RNA, 468 nt
Filed under: uncultured bacterium
Lineage: Bacteria
Description: partial 16S ribosomal RNA
Rfam family: Bacterial small subunit ribosomal RNA
Source: RNAcentral